Molecule: long non-coding RNA, 608 nt
Organism: Rhipicephalus sanguineus (brown dog tick)
Lineage: Eukaryota; Metazoa; Arthropoda; Arachnida; Ixodida; Ixodidae
Exons: 4
Source: RefSeq, a predicted model, not a curated record
AAAGCCUGGACUCCGCUGCAAAGCAAUGAAGGCCUGCAGACUGUGAUCGGCAGUUCACGAGACGAUGGAGAGAUCUAUGCAGGCAACGAAAAAUGGGUGGAAAAGGAGGCCUGGGGCACCCUUUUCCGAGCAGGCACAGAUUCUCUAUUUUGUAGGAUGGCUACAAUGUUAUAUUGGACGCCGGACGAACUAAAGAGCCGUAGCGUGACGUGGAAGUUGUCCAAUAAAUCUAGAUCAUUGGGCCAGACGGAAGCGAAACCUCCAUUGACUCCUGAAAAGGUGGCUUCUUUGAAAGCUCUGUUCAGAAUAUACAUGGGCAAUGCACCUGAAGAAGAACAGAAGAAACGCCUGAAAGAUGUCAGGAAGCAUCUUGCCCAAAAGCUUGGGGACUUGCGGCGCAAGUAAACACGUGCUUCUUGCAGGCAGCGCCGGCUUUGGCAAUGAAAUAGAAGUCCCAUGUGGAUCCAAGCACGCGUCAGCAGAUGGAAAAUGCACCGGGGCUCCUGGAAAGCCGCAGGCACUACCACUCUCUUGGACCCCUUGCCUGCCACGACAAAACAGCAACUACGGCACAGGUGCUUCAGCUGCUGCUUUACAGCAAAAUAAAA